AAUAGAUACCCGGGUAGUCCACGCCGUAAACGGUGGGCACUAGGUGUGGGCAACAUUCCACGUUGUCCGUGCCGCAGCUAACGCAUUAAGUGCCCCGCCUGGGGAGUACGGCCGCAAGGCUAAAACUCAAAGGAAUUGACGGGGGGCCCGCACAAGCGGCGGAGCAUGUGGCUUAAUUCGACGCAACGCGAAGAACCUUACCAAGGCUUGACAUACACCGGAAAGCAUCAGGGAUGGUGCCCCCCUUGUGGUCGGUGUACAGGUGGUGCAUGGCUGUCGUCAGCUCGUGUCGUGAGAUGUUGGGUUAAGUCCCGCAACGAGCGCAACCCUUGUCCCGUGUUGCCAGCAACUCUUCGGAGGUUGGGGGACUCACGGGGAGACCGCCGGGGUCAACGUCGGAGGAAGGUGGGGACGACGUCAAGUCAUCAUGCCCCUUAUGUCUUGGGCUGCACACGUGCUACAAUGGCCGGUACAAUGAGCUGCGAUACCGCAAGGUGGAGCGAAUCUCAAAAAGCCGGUCUCAGUUCGGAUUGGGGUCUGC
This 541-nucleotide ribosomal RNA is filed under the name uncultured bacterium. Its description in RNAcentral is "bacterial SSU rRNA". It matches the Rfam family "Bacterial small subunit ribosomal RNA", at positions 777 to 1308 of the family's 1533-position model. The record is from RNAcentral.